Molecule: ribosomal RNA, 253 nt
Filed under: uncultured bacterium
Lineage: Bacteria
Description: partial 16S ribosomal RNA
Rfam family: Bacterial small subunit ribosomal RNA
Source: RNAcentral
UACGGAGGGGGCGAGCGUUGUUCGGAAUUACUGGGCGUAAAGGGCGCGUAGGCGGUCCGUUGCGUCGGGUGUGAAAGCCCCGGGCUCAACCUGGGAACGGCACUCGAUACGGGCGGGCUCGAAUCCGGAAGAGGAGGGUGGAAUUCCCAGUGUAGAGGUGAAAUUCGUAGAUAUUGGGAAGAACACCAAUGGCGAAGGCAGCCCUCUGGUCCGGCAUUGACGCUGAGGCGCGAAAGCGUGGGGAGCAAACAGG